This 124-nucleotide ribosomal RNA is filed under the name Vibrio harveyi. RNAcentral's name for it is "partial 16S ribosomal RNA". It matches the Rfam family "Bacterial small subunit ribosomal RNA", at positions 1 to 107 of the family's 1533-position model. Lineage: Bacteria; Pseudomonadati; Pseudomonadota; Gammaproteobacteria; Vibrionales; Vibrionaceae. RNAcentral also lists the same sequence under 1 other name. The record is from RNAcentral.
AAAUUGAAGAGUUUGAUCAUGGCUCAGAUUGAACGCUGGCGGCAGGCCUAACACAUGCAAGUCGAGCGGAAACGAGUUAUCUGAACCUUCGGGGGACGAUAACGGCGUCGAGCGGCGGACGGGU